This is a long non-coding RNA of Oncorhynchus keta (chum salmon), 932 nucleotides long. RefSeq lists it as uncharacterized. NCBI's taxonomy places the organism in Eukaryota, Metazoa, Chordata, Actinopteri, Salmoniformes, Salmonidae. The transcript is spliced from 3 exons. The record is from RefSeq and is a predicted model, not a curated record.
ACGAGGUCACCACCACAUCGAUUCCACAUUCUGUAGUGUUAGUCAAUAGGGCCGGGUAGGUAACCAUCGGUUACAGAGACCACGAGGUCACGAGGUCACCACCACAUCGAUUCAACAGACUGUAGUAUUAGUCAAUAGGGCCGGGUAGGUAACCAUCGGUUACAGAGACUACGAGGUCACGAGGUCACCACCACAUCGGUUCAACAGACUGUGGGCCGGGUAGGUAACCAUCGGUUACAGAGACCACGAGGUCACGAGGUCACCACCACAUCGGUUCAACAGACUGUAGAAUUAGUCAAUAGGGCCGGGUAGGUAACCAUCGGUUACAGAGACCACGAGGUCACGAGGUCACCACCACAUCGACUCAACAGUCUGUAGUAUUAGUCAAUAGGGCCCGGUAGGUAACCAUCGGUUACAGAGACCACAGUAGAAAGGGUUUGUUGUCCAUUUCAUCAUGUUAAAAAUAAAAUUAAAAAAUAUAUUUAAAAAAAGGGGUCAUUCUGCUGUUAGUAAAGUGUUUUUUUGUAUGAACUGCAGAUUGCCCCUUUAAGCAUGCCCCCGCCCCAACAAACAGGAAGCGCUAACACACAAGGAGCUAGUCAGCUAUCCUGCCCGACAACAGCCAGCGAUGUCCAAUCAAAUAAAAGAGAGAGAGAGAGAGAGAAGAGAAGCUGUAGACGACACCUUUGGUAAAUAUGAAGAAACAGUUUUAUGUAAUCCCAUCUGAUAUCAGAAAGGUAAAGAAGAACAUUUAUUCUGUAAUACUGUCAUUAUUAUGCAACAUGUCAAGUUAAAAAGAGUACGUGAAAUGAAUGCCGUUGAAUACAUUAGCCUCCUAAACGGCACCCUAUUCCCUAUUUAGUGCACUACUUUUGACCAAAAAGCACCCUAUGGCACUAUGGGCUCUGGUCUAAAAUAGUGCGCACUAUAUA